Molecule: ribosomal RNA, 238 nt
Filed under: uncultured bacterium
Lineage: Bacteria
Description: partial 16S ribosomal RNA
Rfam family: Bacterial small subunit ribosomal RNA
Source: RNAcentral
GCAAGUCGAGCGGUAACAGGUCUUCGGAUGCUGACGAGCGGCGGCCGGGUGAGUAACGCGUAGGAAUCUGCCCGGAGGUGGGGGAUAGCCCGGAGAAAUCCGGAUUAAUACCGAAUAAUCCCUGAGGAGGAAAGGGGGCUUCGGCUCUCGCUACUGGAGGAGCCUGAGUCGGAUUAGCUAGUUGGUGGGGUAAAGGCUUACCAAGGCGACGAUCCGUAGCUGGUCUGAGAGGAUGAUC